UCUGCUUUUUCCCCAUCUUUGUGGUUUUAUCUACCUUUGGUCUUUGAUGAUGGUGACGUACAUAUGGGGUUUUGAUGUGGUUGUCCUUUCUGUUUGUUAGUUUUCCUUCUAACAGUCAGGACCCUCAGCUGCAGGUCUGUUGGAGUUUCCUAGAGGUCCACUCCAGACCCUGUUUGCCUGGGUAUCAGCAGCGGAGGCUACAGAACAAUGAAUAUUGGUGAACAGUGAAUAUUGGUAAACAGCAAAUGUUGCUGCCUGUUCAUUCCUCUGGAAGUUUUGUGUCAGAGGAGUAUGCGACCAUGUGAGGUGUCAGUCUGCCCCUACUUGGGGGUGCUUCCCAUUUAGGCUACUCGAGGGUCAGGGACCCACAUGAGGAGGCAGUCUGUCCGUUCUCAGAUCUCCAGCUGUGUGCUGGGAGAACCACUACUGUCUUCCAAGCUGCCACCCAGUUCGAGCUUCCCGGCCUCUUUAUUUACCUACUCAAGCCUCAGCAAUGUUGGGCACCCCUCCCCCAGCUUCGCUGCCACCUUGCAGUUUGAUCUCAGACUGUUGUGCUAGCUAUGAGCGAGGCUCCAUGGGCAUAGGAGCCUCUGAGCCAGGAGCGGGAGAUAAUCUCCUGGUGUGCCAUUUGUUAAGACCGUCAGAAAAGCACAGUAUUAUGGUGGGAGUGACCCGAUUUUCCAGGUGCCGUCUGUCACCCCUUUCCUUGGCUAGGAAAGGGAAUUCCCUGACCCCUUGUGCUUCCAGGGUGAGGUGAUGCCUCUCCCUGCUUCUGCUCACGCUCGGUGCACUGCAUCCAUUGUCCUGCACCCACUGUCCGACAAUCCCCAGUGAGAUGAACCCAGUACCUCAGUUGGAAAUGCAGAAGUCAUCCGUCUUCUGCGUCACUCACGCUGGGAGCUGUAGACUGGAGCUGUUCCUAUUUGGCCAUCUUGGAACCGCCCC
This 945-nucleotide long non-coding RNA is filed under the name Homo sapiens (human). RNAcentral describes it as "HSALNT0335134". Lineage: Eukaryota; Metazoa; Chordata; Mammalia; Primates; Hominidae. The record is from RNAcentral.